CCUUGAAAGAGUGCGUAAUAGCUCACUGGUCAAGUGAUUCCGCGCCGACAAUGUAGCGGGGCUCAAGUACACCGCCGAAGUUGUGGAUUUCAGAUAGUAGCCAAGCCGCUCCCUUGUGGGGUUGGUUCAGGCGUCUGGAGUGGUAGGGGAGCGUCGUGUGGGCAGUGAAGUCGCGGUGUAAACCAGCGGUGGAGCCUACACGAGUGAGAAUGCAGGCAUGAGUAGCGAAAGACGGGUGAGAAACCCGUCCGCCGAAUGAUCAAGGGUUCCAGGGUCAAGCUAAUCUGCCCUGGGUAAGUCGGGACCUAAGGCGAGGCCGACAGGCGUAGUCGAUGGACAACGGGUUGAUAUUCCCGUACCGGCGAAAAACCGUCCAUGCUGAACAGGGGAUACUAACCGCCCGAGACCUGCCCGGCCACCCUUGUGGUGACCCGGGUUUUGGUGGAGCGCGGGACCUGAUCCUGGGAGGCAAGCGUAUUAACAGGUGUGACGCAGGAAGGUAGCCGAGCCGGGCGAUGGUUGUCCCGGUCUAAGGAUGUAGGGCGAACGGUAGGCAAAUCCGCCGUUCAUGAUGCCUGAGAUCUGAUGGGACUCCCGUAAGGGGGGAUUCGGUGAUCCUAUGCUGCCGAGAAAAGCAUCGACGCGAGGUUUUAGCCGCCCGUACCCCAAACCGACACAGGUGAUCAGGUAGAGAAUACUAAGGCGAUCGAGAGAAUUAUGGUUAAGGAACUCGGCAAAAUGCCCCCGUAACUUCGGGAGAAGGGGGGCCCCCAUCGUGAUGGACACUAGCUGUCCGGAGCGUGCAGGGGCCGCAGAGACCAGGGGGAAGCGACUGUUUACUAAAAACACAGGUCCGUGCGAAGUCGCAAGACGAUGUAUACGGACUGACUCCUGCCCGGUGCUGGAAGGUUAAGAGGACCGGUUAGCCGCAAGGCGAAGCUGAGAAUUCAAGCCCCAGUAAACGGCGGUGGUAACUAUAACCAUCCUAAGGUAGCGAAAUUCCUUGUCGGGUAAGUUCCGACCUGCACGAAUGGAGUAACGACUUCCCCGCUGUCUCAACCAUAAACUCGGCGAAAUUGCAGUACGAGUAAAGAUGCUCGUUACGCGCAGCAGGACGGAAAGACCCCGAGACCUUUACUAUAGUUUGGUAUUGGUGUUCGGAGUGGCUUGUGUAGGAUAGGUGGGAGACGUUGAAGCCCGGACGCCAGUUCGGGUGGAGUCAUCGUUGAAAUACCACUCUGGUCACUUUGGACAUCUAACUUCGGCCCGUAAUCCGGGUCAGGGACAGUGCCUGAUGGGUAGUUUAACUGGGGCGGUUGCCUCCUAAAAAGUAACGGAGGCGCCCAAAGGUUCCCUCAACCUGGACGGCAAUCAGGUGUUGAGUGUAAGUGCACAAGGGAGCUUGACUGCGAGACAUACAUGUCGAGCAGGGACGAAAGUCGGGACUAGUGAUCCGGCACCUCUGAGUGGAAGGGGUGUCGCUCAACGGAUAAAAGGUACCCCGGGGAUAACAGGCUGAUCUUCCCCAAGAGUCCAUAUCGACGGGAUGGUUUGGCACCUCGAUGUCGGCUCGUCGCAUCCUGGGGCUGGAGCAGGUCCCAAGGGUUGGGCUGUUCGCCCAUUAAAGCGGCACGCGAGCUGGGUUUAGAACGUCGUGAGACAGUUCGGUCUCUAUCCGCCGCGCGCGUCAGAAGCUUGAGGAAACCUGUCCCUAGUACGAGAGGACCGGGACGGACGAACCUCUGGUCUACCAGUUGUCCCACCAGGGGCACCGCUGGAUAGCUACGUUCGGACAGGAUAACCGCUGAAAGCAUCUAAGCGGGAAACCUUCUCCAAGACCAGGCUUCUCACCCUUUUAGAGGGAUAAGGCCCCCCGCAGACCACGGGAUCGAUAGACCAGACCUAGAAACCCAGCAAUGGGCGCAGGGAACUGGCACUAACCGGCCGAAAACUUACACAC
RNAcentral lists this ribosomal RNA (1960 nucleotides) under Candidatus Atribacteria bacterium. RNAcentral's name for it is "partial 23S ribosomal RNA". It matches the Rfam family "Bacterial large subunit ribosomal RNA", at positions 1120 to 2925 of the family's 2925-position model. Lineage: Bacteria; Pseudomonadati; Atribacterota; Atribacteria. The record is from RNAcentral.